Perca flavescens (yellow perch) is the source of this 1108-nucleotide long non-coding RNA. RefSeq lists it as uncharacterized. The record is from RefSeq and is a predicted model, not a curated record. The transcript is spliced from 3 exons. NCBI's taxonomy places the organism in Eukaryota, Metazoa, Chordata, Actinopteri, Perciformes, Percidae.
AAAACCAGUCAGUAUCAGCAAAAACAAAAGUGUUCCAUCCAUCCAUCCAUCUUCGUCCGCUUAUUUGGGGGCAGCAGCUCCAGCAGGCUACCCAGGAGCAGUAGAAAAGUGUGCGUGCAUGCGUGCGUUACCCGUCUGAAGGAGACGACGUAGAAAGUGUCCUCUCUGCGGUCGAUGGCGUCCAUGAAGUCGCUGUAGGUGACCUCGGGACCAGGAAGCACCUGCAGCUGGCUGCAGACGGGAACAACAACAAGUUCAACGUCAAUAGAGCGGUGAGCCUGAAUCGGCAGAUAUCUGGAGAAGUUCGUCUUCCUCAGCUGGGCUUUCUGCAACAACAAAGUGGACUUCAAUGAUCCGUAUUUCUUUCUAAGGGACGCUGAAUCAAUAGCAACUGCAUUCUGCCCCAUUUUUGAACAUAGGACACAAACCCCUCCAAUGUUAAGGUUUCUCACAACAUACGCAAAGGCAGUUUUACUUGUAAACCUAACUUACUUUUUCAUUUAUGUGAAGAAAAAAAAGAAACCGAUGGAAUAAUAAAAAAAAAAAAAAACUCAAAAACAUAAAAACAGGCUUAUGAAAAAGAGGGAAAAAGCAGCGUCGGCUUUAACAGGAAGACGAGGAGGUCUACUGAACCUGGGCGAUUUUGGCCUUCUUGGCGAUUUUUGGUUUUCCUCCAGACUUCUUCCUGUCGAUCUGGUGCCGAUGGACCCAGCCCCUCAGCUCAUCUGCCAGCCUGGAGUACAUGUGGGGAGAGCCAGAAACACUAAACUGAGGCCAAAGAAAUUAAAUAAAUAAAACCCUCCCGCUCUCCUCCGAAACCCGUCUUUACAUCCUAUUAAAUUUAUUAAUUAUUCAUUUCUCACUCACUGUAACUUUUAUUCUUUUAUUUGUAUCGUAUUAUUUUUAUUUAUUUUCAUCAUGAUGACCAUGGAUAUUGCCGGAACAAGCUGAAACGCUGCUUUUACAUCCUUUUUUUAAAAUCACUCACGCAAUGAAUGUUUUUUUUUUUUUUUGGUAGACUGAUUUGUUCGUCCGUUUUGUGAACACAUUUUUGGGAAGCUCAUUUUAAGCAACAAAACAAUUUGUCAACGUGAGUAAAAUGUGUGUU